CCCUUAGAUGUUCUGGGCCGCACACGCGCUACACUGAAGGAGGCAGCGUGUACUCCUGGAUCGAAAGAUUUGGGUAACCCGCGAAUCUCCUUCGUGCUAGGGAUUGAGGUUUGCAAUUAUCCUUCAUGAACGAGGAAUUCCCAGUAAGUGCAAGUCAUAAGCUUGCGCUGACUACGUCCCUGCCCUUUGUACACACCGCCCGUCGCUACUACCGAUUGAAUGAUUUAGUGAGGACUUCGGACUGGGACCGAUGCGGCUUUCGGGCUGCGUCGGUAUUCUGGAAAGUUGUCCAAACUGUNUNAUUUAGNGGAAGUAAAANUCGUANCA
This 327-nucleotide ribosomal RNA is filed under the name uncultured eukaryote. Its description in RNAcentral is "partial 18S ribosomal RNA". It matches the Rfam family "Eukaryotic small subunit ribosomal RNA", at positions 1470 to 1796 of the family's 1831-position model. The record is from RNAcentral.